Small nucleolar RNA from Mastomys coucha (southern multimammate mouse), 129 nucleotides. RefSeq annotates it as small nucleolar RNA SNORA17. NCBI's taxonomy places the organism in Eukaryota, Metazoa, Chordata, Mammalia, Rodentia, Muridae. The transcript has a single exon. The record is from RefSeq and is a predicted model, not a curated record.
CCUACUCCUAGAGGCAUUUCAGGUGUGACUGCUGUGUCACAUGUGUGUCAGUAGGUGACAGAGAGGAGACAACCCAUGUCCACACUCAGUGUUCUGACCUGUGAACAUCCCAAUGAUUAGCCUAACAUU